Molecule: long non-coding RNA, 8242 nt
Filed under: Triticum aestivum (bread wheat)
Lineage: Eukaryota; Viridiplantae; Streptophyta; Magnoliopsida; Poales; Poaceae
Description: long non-coding RNA (TAES_LNC011444)
Source: RNAcentral
UCCAUGGACAGACCGGCGACGAGCUGCCUGCGGGUGAGAACGCAAUGUUCAGAAACGUGCUGCUCUUUCGGGUAUUGUUCCUCUCUGAAACCUGUUUUUGCUGCAACCUACCUCAUGCAAAAAUCACUAGAUCCAAGAUUCCCACAUCUUUUCUUGUUCACUUGUAGGUUUCAAAGUAGCAGCUAAGAGAAAUAGGCAGUUGUGCUUCAAAAAAAUCCGAUUGCGAUGGACGCUCUGGCGACUGGCGACGCCCCCAACGGCGCGGGCGCCGUGGCCACCCGGCCGCCCCCUUCGCCGUCCCCGCCCUCGAGCCCCGCCCCCCCCCCUCCCCCCCGCCGGCGUCCGCCCCCUCCUCGCCGGCCCCUCCCGGUUCGCCACGGCUNNNNNNNNNNNNNNNNNNNNNNNNNNNNNNNNNNNNNNNNNNNNNNNNNNNNNNNNNNNNNNNNNNNNNNNNNNNNNNNNNNNNNNNNNNNNNNNNNNNNNNNNNNNNNNNNNNNNNNNNNNNNNNNNNNNNNNNNNNNNNNNNNNNNNNNNNNNNNNNNNNNNNNNNNNNNNNNNNNNNNNNNNNNNNNNNNNNNNNNNNNNNNNNNNNNNNNNNNNNNNNNNNNNNNNNNNNNNNNNNNNNNNNNNNNNNNNNNNNNNNNNNNNNNNNNNNNNNNNNNNNNNNNNNNNNNNNCCCCGUCGUUUGCCGGGAUCGGGUCCCCCCCAAGGCCCAGCCACGGCCGCCACCUGACCUUGCCGGCGGCCCUUCUCCCAGGGGUGGGAGAUCGGCCGCCCGCGGGUCGGGUCGGCGCUGGCAUCUCCCCCCGGCCACCUCCCCGGAUCGGGUGACGAAAGGCACUGCCUUUGGGUCUGGGCUGCCCCCUCGGCGGCGUCGCGCUGGCAGCUGGGGAGUUGCCGGACGCGCUGACCGGGGCCCGGCGCUAGCCUCCUGGAAGCCCCCGCCCGUCGCCGGCCUCCCCUCGGCUCCGACCUCGCCUGCACCGGCCGGCCCGUCCCUGGCGUCCCCGCCCGCGCUCGCUCCGGCACCUCCUUGCCAGAACCCCUUCCGCCCCUUCCUCCCCUCCGGUCGGCCCGCCGGACCCCUUCCCCACGGCCGUCCCUCCGGCCCGCCUCCCCCUCGCCGCCCCCGUGCACCCCCGCCGGCGGCCACCGCGGUGGUGCUCGGGGAAACCCUAGCGCCCCGCUUGGUCACUCCGGGCUGCGGUGAUAUUGGGCCGGCCCACGGACCUGGUUCCUGGGCCCCCUCUCGGGAUGGCGGCUGCGGGUGCGGCCCAUGGGCGACCGUCCUCGGUGGCUUCGGUGGGCCGGCUUGGCAGGCCGGAUGGGCCCCGCCUGGCCCGUUCUCGCCCCAAGGCGUCCGCAGGCCCAUCGAUGCGGUCCAUUUGGCCGCCGGUAGGGUUCCCUCGCCCUCCAAUCCUCCCCACCCCCGCGCCGCCUGCUCCCUGCCUCGCCCCCUCGGCCGCUGCCGUCCCGCCUCGACUUCCCCUCGCCGGCGCUGCCGGCCUUCCCUCGCCUCCUUCCCCCUCCGCGCCACCCAUGCCUCGGGAAUGGGGGGACGACGCGGGGCGCCCCAAGCGUCGGGCGGACGACCGCCGCGACCCCCCACGCCCCUCCCCCGACGGCCGCUGGUGCGAGGACGACCUGCGGUAGCAGCUCUCCUCCCGGCCGGCGCGGUCCUCUCCGGCGCGCGAGACCCGCCUCUCGCCUUCUCGCCCCUCGCGCCGCUCCCCAGCCCGCGGCGACCGACGCUCCCGCUCGCCCUCCCGCCGCUCUUCACCGCGGGGGGAGUCGCGUGACCGUGGCCGGUCUCCGGCUCGGGAGGCUCGGCCGCCCCCUCGGCGUCGGUCCCCCUCGCCGACCCGUCGUCGGGUCCGGUCCCAUUCUCCACCCCGCCCGCUCCCCACCAACAACGGCGCCGACGCCCCUCCCUCCAGCCGCUACCAGCCCCCCCGCUCCCAGGUUGCGUUUCCGCCGUCCAACGGCGGCAACGGCAACCGGGGAUGCCCCGAGAUCCAAGAAGAAGAAGAAGAAGGGCCCUCCGCGCCCCCAAGCCGCCGCCUCCACCGCAAUCGCGGCUCCUCCUCCGGGUACCACCGCCUCGGCCGUGGUCCAGCCGUGCUUCAACUGCGGCUUGACCGGACACUUCCAGGUGGCGUGCCCCAACCCACUGACAUGCUACCUGUGCAAGGAUACCGGGCACCCCGCGAUUCUCUGUUCGGACCGCCCGGUGACUGAGGAGCUCAUGAUGUAUGGGCACGGCAUCGAGGACUUGGCCUUCUUCCACAUCGAGGUGCCCGAGCUCGCCCCGCCAUCCCCCUCGCUGCUGGCUUUGGUGACGGUUGUGGGUGAUGCCGUCGCCACCCCGGAGCUGAUUGAGGCUGAGCUCAACCACUUGUGCAGAUGCACGUGGGACUGGCAGGUGACCCCCACGGCUCCCAACGCCUUCUCAGUGGUCUUCCCUGACGCGAUGAGCAUGGGAUUCUGCAGGCGCAGCAACAACAUCACCCUGGCUCUCAACGACAUCGUGGUGAACAUCUCUGAGCCGCAGUGGGAUCCCAGAGUCGUCGCUACCCUGGACACGGCUUGGCUCCUCAUCUCCGGCCUCCCUGAUGUUGCCCGGUCCGAGCGGGUCAUCCGCAGUAUGUCCAAGAUCCUAGGCAGGGUGGUGGUGGUUGACGAGCUCUCCCUGCGCAAGGAGGAGGAGGUCCGGGUUAAGGUGAAAUGCCUGGACUCCUCCAAGCUCCUCGUCACGAUCCGUGUCUUCUUCAACGAUGACGGCUACGACCUCAAGAUCCGCCCCGAGCCUCCGUCCCACGUCGGCCGCCCCCGCCUCUCUGCUGGCAGCCUCAUGGGGGGGGCCGCUGAUGCUGACGACUCCCACCACCGCCGCUCGCGCUCCUCCCGCUUCGACGACCCUACCGAGGACAAGGAUGAGUCGGAGCACUCUCGCUCCCCGUCUCGGGACCCCCCAACCCUCCAGCGAGUCGGGGCGGGUCGGGGUCGGGGCGUACCUGGGUGUCGGCCGCCGAUCUCGCGGUGGCCCUCCGCCUGGCCACCCCGCUGGCUUCCUCCCCGUCUCCGUCGGCGUCGACCGGCGACAUCUCCAGCGUGAGCCUCCUCGUCGCCCCUCCAUCGUCACCCCGCUCCCCCGGUGCCGCCUCUGCCCGCCGCCUCGUGCCGCCGGGGGCUGAGCCCACGCCCUCCGCCGGCUCGCCUUCUCCGGUUUCUUCUGGGGUUGGCGGUGUCGGCGCGUCUCUGGGGCCGUCUGAUCCACCCCCCGCGCCGGUGCCGUCCGGCUACCACCUCGCCUCGCCGGCUUCCCCCGACGCCUCGGUGGCGGUGGACGUCUCCUCCCCGGCCUCCGCGCACCCCCCUCCGACGGUAGCGUACACCAGGAGGCCCCACUCCACCUCGACGCCGGUGACGUCCUCUCGCCACAGCGCCCGCCUGGAGGCGGCGCGGCCGGGCGACUCCCCUGCGCCUUCCGUCGCCGAGCGGGCGGAGCUCCGCGCCGUGGUCCGGAACCUCGAGUCAGGUGCGGACCCCGCCCCUCCCGGUUCUUCUCGUUGCUCCUUUUCUGCUCUCGAGGCCGCUCCUCUCGGCCACCUUGCUAAGGUGGCCAAUGACUCGGCCAUUGUCUUCAGGGGGGAGGUCGGUCCCCCCUUAGAUCAGAUCGCGGCCAUUAGGGCCCGGGAGAUCCUCGACGGCAGGCUGGCUGAGACUCGUGCCCGCCUGCUUCGGCCCCCGGAGGGCCCGCCCUCCACCCCCGCGGCUCCGGCUCCUCCGGUGGCCGACGGGAUUAUCCGUGGAUGCACUCGGUCUCGCACGGCCGCCCUUCGCGCGCAAAGCGCCUCUCGUGUCUUGGGGUCAAGCAGCCCCUCUUCUGGAACCUCCGCGGCUUCGGCCAUGAUGGUCGUCGCCGCCAGCUCAUCGAGUACAUCCGGGAAGAACACAUUGACAUCGUGGCCAUCCAAGAAACCCUUCGCUCCGAGUUCACCCUGCUGGAGCUUGAACACCUGAGCCCCCACCUCUUCGCUUGGCACUGGCUCCCUUCUAGUGGGACCUUAGGACACUCGGGUGGCAUCCUCUUAGGGGUUAAGGAUGCCACAUUUGAGGUGGGAGGCAUGGAUAGAGGGGAAUUCUUCGUUAGUAUGGAGAUCUUCAAGCGUGCCCUGAACUUCAAAUGGGAGGUCAUUGUUGUCUACGGACCGGCGGGUCACCGCCGCUCCCCGGCCUUCCUUGACGAGUUGCAGCUGAAGAUUUCUAACUCCCCCCCUCCCUGUUUUAGUGGGAGGCGACUUCAAUCUCAUCCGAUCCCCGGAUGAGAAGAAUAAUUCCCGGAUUAAUUUUCCCCGGAUGCAAUUAUUCAACGAUUGGAUCGCGGAUCUGGGGCUCCGCGAGCUUAACCGGACAGGUGCCAGGUUCACUUGGACCAACCGGCAAUCUAUCCCGACACAAUCCGUGUUGGAUCGUGUCCUAGUGUCCCCGGAGUGGGAAUUGCGUUGCCCCUUGGCAUCGCUCCGGGCGGUCACCCGGAUUGGCUCCGAUCAUGUCCCCCUUCUCCUCUCCACCGCCAACGAGCGCCCCCCCUCCCUGCUGCGGUUCCGGUUCGAGCUCUUCUGGCUCAACCAAACCGGCUUCCGGGAGGCCGUCGUCGCCCGCUGGAUUUCCGCUAGGUCGGCGCCCCAUCGCUCCAUGUCCGCUGUCGACUCAUGGCACUUUUGUGCCAAGCUUGCCCGCCAGUUCAUGAAGGGUUGGGGGGCUAACCUUGGCCGGGACCUUAGAGAGCGCAAGAAGACCAUCCUAAUUGCUAUUCAAGCCCUGGAUGCUCGCGCGGACUCGACCGGGCUCUCCUCGGAUGAGUGGAUGCUACGUUACGACCUGGAGGACCAGCUCUCCACCAUCUACACGGAUGAGGAGGCCUACUGGCGCUUGCGUGGUACCCAGAGGUGGGUGCUACAGGGCGAUGCCAACACCGCCUAUUUCCAGGCGGUCGCGAACGGCCGGCGCCGUCGCAACUCCAUCCACUGCCUGUGGGAUGGAGACUCGUCGUUAGUUCUCCCCGCGGCCAUCCGCUCUCAUGUGGAUAGCUUCUAUCGAGCCUUAUUUACCCCCACCCCGUGCGGUGGGGCUAGUCUCGCCCCCGACAUUUGGUCGGGCGCGCACGUAGUCUCGGAUGAAGCCAAUGCGGUUUUGGUUGCCCCCUUUAGCGAGGACGAGGUCCUCGCUGCCAUUAAGGGGAUGAACCCCUCCUCGGCCCCGGGACCGGAUGGUCUACCAAUGUCUUUCUUCAAGACGUUCUGGCCUACCAUCAAGCUUGAGGUCAUUUCUCUCUUUGAGGAAUUCUACUCGGGCUCCAUGGACCUGGGGCGCCUUAAUUAUGGGGUUGUGACCCUCAUCCCCAAGGUCCCGGGUGCCUCCGAUAUUCGCCAGUUCUGCCCCAUCACAGUGCUUAAUGUGAUUUUUCGGAUCCUGGCUAAAGGGUACGCCAAUAGGGUGACCCUCCUUGCGGACUCAAUCACCCACCCGAACCAAUCCGCCUUCAUUCAAGGCCGAUUUAUCCUGGAUGGGGUGUUGGUGUUCCACGAAGUCCUCCACGAGGUCCGCCUGAAGCGCCAUAGGGCGGUCUUUCUCAAGCUGGACUUCCACAAAGCCUACAACACGAUGCACUGGCCGUUCCUGAGGGAGGUCCUGCUCCGCAAGGGCUUCGAUGACCGUUGGGUGACCCGCGUCAUGCAGCUCGUCUCCUGUGGUCGGACUGCGGUGAACAUCAACGGCGACAUUGGGCCCUUCUUCCCUACCCUUUGCGGGGUCCGGCAGGGAGAUCCCUUCUCGCCGUUCUUGUUCAACAUGGUCGUGGAUGCCCUGGCCACCAUCUUGGAUAAGGCCACGGCUGCUGGGCAUAUUCGAGGCCUUGUCCCGCACCUUGUUGGAGGGGGAGGUGUUUCCCUUCUCCAAUACGCGGAUGACACCAUUAUUAUGGUCGAGGGUUCCGCCCUAGAGAUCUCGAACCUGAAGUUCCUUCUUCUGUGCUUCCAACAAAUGUCGGGCCUCACCAUCAACUUUGAUAAGAGCGAAGUGAUGGUACUCGGUUACCCCUCAGAGGACGCAUAGUCCAUUGCCGACCGGCUUAACUGUCGGCUGGGUUCUUUCCCCACGACCUAUCUGGGGAUCCCCAUUAGUGACACGCGCCUCACCGUGGCGGACCUCCGCCCCACGGUGACCCGUAUGCAACAUCGCGUAGAGCCCUGGAAAGGGCGUUGGCUGUCGAAGGCGGCACGCGUGAUCCUUAUCAACUCCUCGCUAGCUAGCCUCCUGUGGUUCCUCAUGAGCUUCUAUAGCCUUCAUGAAACGCUCCAUCAGGAGGUCGCCAAAUACCAGUCCAGAUUCUUCUGGGCUGGGGAGGAGGGCAAGCAGAAAUACCACAUGGUCAGCUGGCCAGAUAUCUGCAAACCCAAGGACCAGGGCGGUCUUGGGAUUCUGUCCUCUCGGCGCAUGAACAUCGCCCUCUUGACCCGCUGGCUCUGGCGCAUUGCCAAUGGGGAUGGAGGCCUCUGGCUCACUAUCAUCCAGAACAAGUACCUGCCUGGACAGCCACUCGUGUUCUGCCAACGCUCUGGCGGUUCCCAGUUUUGGCAGGCCGUCGUCUAGCUGCUGCCGGUCUUGCGUAUAGGCACAUCCAUCUCGGUGGGCACUGGAGCCUCGACCUUGUUCUGGCUGGAUAGAUGGCUCGGAGAUGCCCCUCUAGCCGCCCGGUUCCCCAUCCUAUUCGACAUUGUAGUUGACCCUCGGGUCUCAGUCGAGGCGGCCCUUAUUGACUUAGGGCGCCUCGCAUUCCGCCGCCCUUUUGGCCCCGCUGAGGUGGCUGCCUGGGAUGUCCUCCUCCAGGACAUCGCCCUCUUACCUAUGGACGUGGCCGACUCUCCGGACGCCAUCUCCUGGCGCCUAGAUCCCUCCGGCUGCUUCUCCACUAAAUCCCUCUACGCGGCUAUUGCCCCCUCGUCAGCCCCGGAGCCCUUCGGUCUGAUCUGGGACAUCCGCCUCCCCCUAAAGAUUCGGAUCUUUCUUUGGCAAUGGAUCCGCGGCCGCCUCCCGACCGGCGUUGAGGUUCUUAAGCGCCAUGGUCCUGGCGAUGGAAUGUGCCCCCUGUGUGGCACGGUAGAGGACGCUAAUCACAUCUUCUUCUCUUGCUACACAGCACAGUUCCUUUGGUUUUGUUUCCGCGAAAUGGUUGGGGGACAGUGGUGCAACACCAACUUCCCUGACUUGCUUGCGGAAAUUCAAGCCUCCCCCCCUCGCUACAGACAUAUUAGAUGGCUGUGCGUCGGGGUUCUCGCCUGGACGCUGUGGACGGUUCGCAAUAAGCUUGUCAUUCAGAAGGUGCCCCUUCGGCGUGCUACUGACUCCAUCUUCAAAAUGUGUGGUUACUUGCAGCUCUGGCGGCCGCUUAGCCGCCCUCAGGACCGGGACGCCAUCAACAGACUCCUCACCGACCUCCGUUCGUUGGCCUUCCGCCUGGCGCCUCCGCUCCCGCCGCCACCCCCGUAGCCCGACUAGAGGAUGUUUCCCUCCUGGCGCGUGUGCCUUUUUGUGUGUGUGUGUUGGGCUUGUUGAGCUGUGCCCUCAGCCGUAAGGCCCGUAACCCUUGUUGCUUGCUUUUGUUUGGACUCUGUGUGCGUGUGGCUUUGUGUGUGUGUGGACCUGUUGGAUGUUGGCUUUGGCAUUGGCUUUAUAUAUAAAGCGGGGCGUGAGCCUUUUUCGGUAAGUAGCAGCUAACCUAUCUACCAUUUGCCUUAUUAACUUCUCCAUCCUUGUUUUGAUAAGUUGUACAAGAGUCCACAUCUAUUUAUUUUUUAUGGUGAAACACUGAAAUGUGAUCAAGAAAUAAUAUACACGCAUGGGAAACUGCUAUCGAUCGGGUGAAGAGUUUAAUCAAGAUCUGUGUAUUUCUUUCUUACCUUGAACGAAACCUGAUAGGAUUCAUUUUGUUUUCAUACUUUGUGUCAACCAUGGAAGAACAUUAGCAGGCUUAUGAGGUCUGUCCUGCUCAGUUUGUUUAGUUUGGAGAUUAAAAUGUUUAAUUGAGCUCUGUGUAUUUCUUUGUUACCUUGAAUGAAACCUGGCAGGAUCAAGCUCCUAAGAUUGUUGAGCUGUUAUACUUCAGACCAAUUUUCAGAGUUCAUUUCUUUCUGUGGAAAGUGUUGUCAGAUUGUGUGAUUAUUUGGAAUGAUUAGUGCCG